CGUGCCUAAUACAUGCAAAGUCGAGCGAACAGACGAGGAGCUUGCUCCUUUGACGUUAGCGGCGGACGGGUGAGUAACACGUGGGUAACCUACCUAUAAGACUGGGAUAACUUCGGGAAACCGGAGCUAAUACCGGAUAAUAUUUCGAACCGCAUGGUUCGAUAGUGAAAGAUGGCUCUGCUAUCACUUAUAGAUGGACCUGCGCCGUAUUAGCUAGUUGGUAAGGUAACGGCUUACCAAGGCAACGAUACGUAGCCGACCUGAGAGGGUGAUCGGCCACACUGGAACUGAGACACGGUCCAGACUCCUACGGGAGGCAGCAGUAGGGAAUCUUCCGCAAUGGGCGAAAGCCUGACGGAGCAACGCCGCGUGAGUGAUGAAGGUCUUCGGAUCGUAAAACUCUGUUAUUAGGGAAGAACAAACGUGUAAGUAACUGUGCACGUCUUGACGGUACCUAAUCAGAAAGCCACGGCUAACUACGUGCCAGCAGCCGCGGUAAUACGUAGGU
This 508-nucleotide ribosomal RNA is filed under the name marine bacterium SIMO-1597. Its description in RNAcentral is "bacterial SSU rRNA". It matches the Rfam family "Bacterial small subunit ribosomal RNA", at positions 43 to 532 of the family's 1533-position model. Lineage: Bacteria; Bacillati; Bacillota; Bacilli; Caryophanales. The record is from RNAcentral.